Molecule: ribosomal RNA, 483 nt
Filed under: uncultured bacterium
Lineage: Bacteria
Description: partial 16S ribosomal RNA
Rfam family: Bacterial small subunit ribosomal RNA
Source: RNAcentral
AUUGAACGCUGGCGGCAGGCCUAACACAUGCAAGUCGAGCGGAUGAAGGGAGCUUGCUCCUGGAUUCAGCGGCGGACGGGCGAGUAAUGCCUAGGAAUCUGCCUGGUAGUGGGGGAUAACGUCCGGAAACGGGCGCUAAUACCGCAUACGUCCUGAGGGAGAAAGUGGGGGAUCUUCGGACCUCACGCUAUCAGAUGAGCCUAGGUCGGAUUAGCUAGUUGGUUGGGUAAAGGCCUACCAAGGCGACGAUCCGUAACUGGUCUGAGAGGAUGAUCAGUCACACUGGAACUGAGAACCGGUCCAGACCCCUACGGGGGGCAGAGGUGGGGAAUAUUGGACAAUGGGCGAAAGCCUGCGCCAGACAGGCGGGGGGGGUGAAGAAGGUCUUCGAAUUGUAAAGCACUUUAAGUUGGGAGAAAGAGCAGUAAGUUAAUACCUUGCUGUUUUGACGUUCCCAACAGAAUAAGCACCGCCAAACUUCGU